AGGAGGAACAACUGCAGUGGCGGCGGCCAGCUCUGGAGCCCUGGAUUCAGCUCCUGCAGUAACUACAGAGCUCUCUGUCCGCAGGGCCUGGAUGCUCCAGGGGCGG
This 106-nucleotide microRNA precursor is filed under the name Canis lupus familiaris (dog). Its description in RNAcentral is "mir-8834 microRNA precursor family". It matches the Rfam family "mir-8834 microRNA precursor family". Lineage: Eukaryota; Metazoa; Chordata; Mammalia; Carnivora; Canidae. RNAcentral also lists the same sequence under 1 other name. The record is from Rfam by way of RNAcentral.